RNAcentral lists this long non-coding RNA (7515 nucleotides) under Populus trichocarpa (black cottonwood). RNAcentral describes it as "long non-coding RNA (PTRI_LNC004680)". The record is from RNAcentral. Lineage: Eukaryota; Viridiplantae; Streptophyta; Magnoliopsida; Malpighiales; Salicaceae.
AACCAAUGACAUGUUUACCCCACUCAGAUCGAGUUCUCUAAGCUGGGUUAGAUUUCGAACAAGCUUGUCAAAAGAAAUUGGUUCUAGACUUGGGUAGUAGUUUCCAGAGAGAUCAAGCGAAACCAAUUUGGAGAGCUGAGAGAUUUCCGAUGGAACUUGACCUGCAAAGCCUGAGAAAUUUAGGUUAAGAUGUGUCAGGUUGGAGAACUGGCCAAAUGGAGAAGAAAUAUGGGAGCUUUGGAAAUCAUUGUCAGAGAGGUCGAGCUUUUGAAGAUGAUGGAGGGAGAAGAGGGUGCUAUUGGAAUGGAGGGUGCCAUAAAGCAUGCUGCAAGAGAGGUCCAGUCCAGUGACUUGCCCUGUUUUCAGGUCACAAGUGACCCCAUCCCACAAGCAGCAGUCUGUACCCUCUUUCCACGACUCUGUCUUGGGAUGUUGGCAACGCCCUGAAGCAGAGCUACUAAUGGAAAAGGACUCUUGAAUUGGAGCAAAGAAAGACUUUGGUCAGGAGCACAGAAAUGAGAUGAAGAGGAGUAAUUUGAUGAAGAAAUUGUUGUGUGAAAAUGGAAGAGAAACAGAAUGGAAGAGAGAAAUUGAGAGAGGGACAGUGGUGAAAACUUUGAUUAUUGUUCACAAGUCUUUGUUUCUACCCAUCGAGCAAAUCGGAUGUGUCCAAUUGGAGAGAAACAAUUAUGGAAGGAAAAAUCUUGAAACCAAAUAUAGAAGAUAAAAAACUGAUCCAUUACUCAUAAUAAAAUACGUUCUAGCAAAUUCCUCAAGUGAUUUUAAAUCUAAGAGCAACCUAUUUAAUUAGAAUUCAUUUAUAUUUUUUAGUCGAGAUUCCUAAUAACAUUUUUUUCUUGAACAAGUGAUUUCUCCGCAUGCAGUCCUCAAAUAAUUUCUAGCUUGACAUACAAACAAACAAAUAAAUCAUAUAAAAUUCUCAAACAAUUAUAUAUCACAGUUACUUUUUGACAUUUUUUAUAACAAGUUAUUUAUUUAUUUAUUUUAUAAGUUGAAUAGAUAUGAACUGCAGUUACCUCACAAAGGGUGUAAGCUAGCAAAGGAAAAAAAAAGAAGAAAAAAGAAAGAGGGAAAGUAAAUACUUGAGAUAUAUAAAAUAUAUAUGACUAAAAUGACUAAAAUGAGAACCCUAUGUCAAACUAUCGCUUUAUAUUAUUUUAAAUGACUAAAAUGCCAUUAAAAUAAUUAGCAUGUUACUACGUACUCCAUUUUAAAUGAGUUUAUGAUUUGAAUUGGUAGUCCUAAAAGAUCUUUCUUUUUUCAGCAUCAUCAAGUAAUUAAAACCAACCAAUCUUCAUUUGGUCUGUCCCUUUUACUGACCUUCAAGUCUCCGCAACUAAUAUAUAUUGUCAAACAAGUGGCGCAAAACAUGGGACUAAACAAAAGUGUUGGAAACACGGCAAUAUUAGUUUCCACGAUAAUUUUUUGUAAUAUUGGGCUUUUGUUAUAGGCUUAGAAUCGUAUACAUUAUAAGAAUAUGGAAUGGGUUUUUUUCCUUAAUGAAAUACGAGAGAUUUAUUCAAUCACUGUUAUAGCCAUUAAAAACAUAGCUUAAUAGAUAGAAAGAAGAGUAUAAAAAAACUCAGAAGAGUGAGAAAACUUACUAGCACAACUAUAUCCACAACUAAUUAAGUCAUCUUCUCUAAGAACUCCUUGCUUGACUAAAUGAUCUGCAACUUGAUUCUUUUCUUAUGAACAUGUUCAAAACGCGUUAACAUCACUUCAGCAUAUAUACCUAUGGUAGGAGGUAGUAAAGAAGAACUACUUCUCAUAUUUAUGUUGUUAGUCCACGUGAAAUUCUGACAUAAAUAAAUAAUCAAAUGAUACUUCAGAGAGAAUUUUAUUUCCUUCCACAUAUAAGGUGGAAGAAAUCUACCGAUUACCUGUUGAAAUGAUGAUAGAGCUCAUAACUAAUAAAAAGGGGUAUUUUCAGAACAUGGAACAAAAAUCUCUCCUCUCUUCCUUGAUAAGCAGCCGGCCAGCCUUAUGAGAGAGAAAAAAAAGGAAGCUUUGAAUUUUUCUUCUUUUUUUUUCCACUUAAAUGAAGUGUAGGAGGUGAGAGAUUGGGUUCUUUCCUUGUUUUCUUGGAAAAUCAAGUGUGUGGGAUGGUGUUUAGGAGAGGGAAAGUGAGAAAUAAGUAAUUGAAGUAAGGUAUAAUGAAGGGAAAAGGAGAAUUGAGGAAGAAACUUGCUAGAAAAGUGUCAAAUGAGGUUCAAAACUCUUGGGUAAGAUAUCAUACCUCUCUAAUUUUUAUCGAUUUAUGUAUAGGAAGGGAAAUUAUGAUAUUCUACUCUAUGGUUUCAGAAACUUUGAGAAAUUGGUAACGUAAUUGUAAAUUGUUGAUUUUAUAGCCUGUUUGGGAAUGUGGUUGCGAUUGCUUUUCACUUAGAAAAGUAUCAAAAUAAUAUUUUUUUAUUUUUUAAAAAUCAUUUUUGAUAUAAGUGCAUUAAAAUGAUCUCAAAAAUACCAUCGGUAAUUCCCGCUUUAUUUCGUCGGUAUAUCCCUCAAAAAAUACUAUUGGUAAUUCUGUCGGGAAUUAUUUAAAAACAUGUUCAUUGAAGAUUGUUCAUGCCUAAAUGUAAAACUAAUAGUGUUAUUGAAGUUCUCCAAACAUGGGGGAGUAGAAAUACUCAAGCUAUUGUUGGAUAAGUCAAAGACUUGAAGGAAUUUCAGCUUGCAAAUAGAAAAAGAAAUUUCUUUACUGUUGGAUAUAAAAUGAUUAUUAACAAGCUCUCUUAUUUGAAAAUUGAACUUCGGAUUGGAUCAUUCAAGUGCUUUUGUCCUUUUACUUCUUUUAGGCUCAACUUCAUCAUUUUUUGAUUGAUAAUGACUAUUUGAGUUAGCUUCUAUCAUUCUUUUAAGUGAAUAAUUUUCUUGUAGCUCUUCAAAUGAAAACACAUCUUCAAAGAAUAUAGUGCUCUUUGAUUCUAUAAUAGUAUUAUAAUGUAUGUUUUCAAUACUUAACUUGUGUAUAAAAAACUCAUAUGCACUAUUAUUAUAAGCAUAUCCGAUAAAUACACAAUCCACAAUUCUCUGUUCUAUCUUGAACUUUUUAGGAUCAAGUAUUGCUGCCUUUUCAAGACACCCCCAUAUUUUGAAGUAUUUUUAAGAAGAUCUUUUACCUUUUCGCAAUUCAUGUAGUGUAUUUUCUAGCUUUUUUAUGGGUGUACUUUAUUAAAUAUACAAUUGGCAGCCAGAAUGGCCUCCUUUCACAAGUUUUGAGGUACUUUUGAACUUAUCAACAUGAUAUUCAUCAUUUUUUUAAGUGUUUGAUUUUUAUGUUUUUUAAUGUUAUUUUAUUGAGGUAAAUAAAGAGUAAUAAUUUGGUGGAUUAUCUCAUUUUGGAAACAAAAUUCACCAAAAUGUGUUCCAUACUCUCAUUUUUUAAUGUCUUAUUAAGUUGAUUUUGAACUUAAUUUUUGUAAUUUUUAAAUAUUUCAAGAGUCUCAUCUUUGUUUUUAAGCAAAUAAGUAUAAGAGUACCUUGUGCAAUUCUCUAUAAAGGUGAUAUAAUACUUCUUUCCUCCUUUAGUUUACAUUAUUUUUAAAUCAUUAAUGUCUGAGUGAAUUAAAUCUAGAGGUUCACUAUUUCUUUUAAUUAUUUGAAAAUAAGGUUUUGUGAAUUUUAAUUUUACAAAAAUCUCACACGUAUGAUUUUUCUAAAAAACCAUGGUAGGUAUUAAUUCAAGAUAAACUAAUUUUAUAUAAAAUUAUAAUGCACAUGCCCUAACUUCUCAUGCCAUACAUCAUAAGAGUACUAAACCAAGUAAAAAGAAGAUGCAUUAUUAAUAUUAUUCAUCUCAACCUUGGUUACAUUAAUGAUCAUUAAAUUUAUUUUGAAAAGGCCAUCACUAAGACACCCCUUUUCUACAAUACAUUUCAUUUUUUAAGAGUUAUAUAUAUAAUAAUCAAGAUUUUAUAUAAAAAUUAGUGCCAAAAAGACUUGGCUAAUUAACUAGAAAAAAAAAGAGUUAUGUUUGUUUACAAUGACAGAGAAAGAGAAAAUAAAGAAAUGAAAGCUCUGCAGCAAACUGAAAUAACUGACUCUUAAAAAUCUAGUUGUCCAUUGUAUGAUGUCUUUUUAGGACCUUAAAAUCAAGGAGGUUAUGUUCUGGUUAAAAAAAAAAAAGAAGAACCUUAAAAUCAAGCUGGAUUUUCUAUUCAACAUUAACUGCUGCAUGCAUUGCUUCUUUUUUAUAGAUGUAACACCCAAACCUUGCAUCAAAACUAACCAUAAAAAUAAAAUAAAAAACACACAUAUUAAGUGACUCGAAAAUAUUCCAUGUAUCGAAUAAAACUAAUGAAAAUAAAAUAAAAUAAAAUAAAACACAACCAUGAAGGAAAACAGAAGAAGUACGAAAGAGGAAUCCGGUUCUCUGAAUCUGCCACUCUAGCGUUCUUCUCAUGUCAACUCCGCUUGGUAUCUCAUAAGGUAGCGAGGAUGUUUAUUCGAAACUUCACUGCAAUUUAGAAACAUACAAAUAAUUUUUUUAUUUAAUGAAACAGAAGAAAAGACUAAUCAAAGGAAAUAGCACAGAAAAAAUAGCAUAAACUCUUGCACAUAAAACUUUAAGAUGUCAAAUGCUUGUAGAACUUACUUCAUGUUACUAGCUGCGUUGUUUAGUUUCUUCUUGCACCAUUUCUACGAGCAUUCUUCUUCGUUCUUCUUGCCUUCAGAUUCCAUUGAUCUUCAACCACUUUCAGAAACCAUGCUGGUUUUCUUGUCCUAAACACAACGUAUCCCAUUGUGACUCCAAACACAAACCCACAUCCAUACCCUAUUGCCACAGCUUUCCAUCCAAAUCCUUCUCCAAAGAAUUUUGAAUCAUCUCCAUCGUGAAAGUUUGACGGCUGCGAUGGUGGUGCCUCGUCACUAUUGCAUUCUUUUGGCAUUGGAAAUCCACAUAAACCCAAGUUUCCUUCAAAUGAGCUUGCAUUAAACGUGUUGAACUGCUUUCCAAUGGGCAUGGGCCCCUCAAGAUGGUUAUGUGAAAGGUUUAAGACUCCAAGAAAUGUUAGAUCUGCCAACUGUACUGGAAUCCUUCCAGUAAGCAAAUUCGAAGACAGAUCUAAUGAUUCCAGAUAGGUCAACAUUCCUAAUGAUGAUUGAAUAUGGCCUGUAAGGGAAUUAUGAGAGAGGUUGAGUUGUUGAAGUGCUUUAAGCUUUCCGAUCACCUUUGAAAUCUCUCCGAUGAAAUUGUUGUUUGAAAAAUCGAGUAUUCUAAGAGCGCUUUGGAUUCUCGCGAACUCAAUAUCAAACCCUUUCCAUGUCACUUUUAUGGAAUAGGCAUAGUCAGAGUAAUUUCUUGCCAUCAUGUAAAAUGAAUUUUGAUCAGAGAUCAUCAUUGCUUCAAGACUAUUGAAAUACCCUGUUGGCAAUGAUCCACUCAAAUUAUUGCUGGAGAUAUCGAAAAUCCGUAAUUUGGAGAAGGAAUUAUUAGCAAUCGGACCAUUCACAAAACCCUGGAGCUUAUUGGACUUUAGGACAAGAACAUGCAGCUCUGGAAGCAUUUCAAGGAAAUAGGGGAAUGUAUCCUCAAUCUUAUUGUUGCCAAGAUCAAGAAUUUCCAGCAUUGUACAGUUGAUGAUAGACAAUGGUAUUUUCCCUUCCAAUUCAUUGCCAUUUAGGUUGAGAUAUCCCAAGUUAUUCCCUUUUGAAAAUGGUGAAAAGAUAGUGCCUUGAAGAUUAUUCAUGCCAAGAUUCAAAAUUAAGAGAGAGUUGCUAAAGUUCCCUAAACAUUGUGGUAUAAAACCACUCAAAUUGUUGUUGGACAAAUCAAGGAGUCGAAGGAAUUUAAGCUUGCAAAUAGAAGAAGAAAUUUCACCUGUUAAUUUAUUGUUGGAUGCAAGAGCAAGGGCUUCCAGGUUCUCUUGUUUGAAAAUUGAACUUGGGAUUGGACCGUGCAAGUGGUUGUUUCCCAAAUUAAACAAUUUCAAUGAACGAGUACUUAUUUGAGAAGGGAUAGGUCCUACAAGUUGAUUGCUAGAUAAACCUAAAUUUUCAAGGAGGGUCAGGUUACCUAAAAAAUCUGGAAUCCUACCUGAAAAAUUACAGUUAUCGAGAUAUAAGGACUGAAGGUGCACAAGGUUUCUAAGUGAUGGUGGAAUCUGACCGCUGAAAUGGUUACCUGCGAGGUCUAAACGAGUGAGCUGUGUGAGAUGACCAAUCAGGGUUAAAUUUGACUUUAUGAUAUUACAUUCUCUGAGAACCAGAACUUCCAACAACUUUAGAUUUAUGAAGAAGUCAUUUUCUAAAGAAACUGAAAUUCUCGUAUGAGUAAGACCCAAUAACCGGAGGACAUUACUCACAUUGGAUGAAGGAAAAGAGCCAGUGAGUUCGUCGUUGUAUGUCAAAUCAAGUGAUUUAAGGUUUGGUAGGAGAAAGAUGUUACCUGGGAACUUCCCUUUCAAUCCACAACCCCAAAGGGCAAGAACUGACAAGGAUGAGGACAGAUUCGCCAAGGAAUUAGGUAUGACCAAAGGCAUAUUUACAUAACCCAAAUGGAGUCCUCUUAGCUUGGUUAGGUUUUGAAUAAUCUUGUCAAAAGAAUUUGGUUCUACACUCAAAUAGUCAUUGUAAGAGAGAUCAAUUGAAACCAACUCAGUGAGUUGCCCAAGAUCAUAUGGAAUUGAACCUGUAAAAUUGUUGUAUCUAAGAUCCAAUUGCUGGAGGUGCUUAAAUUGUCUCAUUGAGGAUGGAAAUUUUCCUUGCAAUCCACAGGAGUAGAGUGCGAGUGAUGACAAAGAAGAAGACACAUUCAUCAAGGAAUUGGGUACAACCAAUGACAUGUUCACCCAACUCAGAUAGAGUUCUCUAAGCUGGGUUAGAUUUUGAACAAGCUUGUCAAAAGAAAUUGGUUCUAGACUUAGAUAGUCGUUUUCGUUUCCAGAGAGAGCAAGUGAAACCAACUCAGUGAGUUGCUCAAGAUCAUAUGGAAUUGGACCUGUAAGAUUGUUAUCUGCAAGAUCCAACUGCUGGAGGUGCUUAAACUUUCUCAUUGAGGAUGGGAAUUUUCCUUGCAAUCCACAGGAACGGAGUUUGAGUGACGACAAAGAAGAAGACAGAUUCAUCAAGGAAUUGGGUGCAACCAAUGACAUGUCUACUGAACUCAGAUCGAGUUCUCUAAGCUGGGUUAGAUUUCGAACAAGCUUGUCAAAAGAAAUUGGUUCUAGACCUGCAAAGACUGAGUAAUUUAGGUUAAGAUGUGUCAGGUUGGAGAACUGGCCAAAUCGAGAAGAAAUAUGGGAGCUAUUGAAAUGAUUGUCAGAGAGGUCGAGCUUUUGAAGAUGAUGCAGGGAGAAGAGGGUGCUAUUGGGAUGGAGGGUGCCAUAAAGCAUGCUGCAAGAGAGGUCCAGUGCAGUGACAUGCCCGGUUUUCAGGUCACAAGUGACCCCAUCCCACAAGCAGCAGUCUGUACCCUCUUUCCACGACUCUGUCUUGGGAUGCUGGCAAUCCUCCGAAGAAGCAGAGCUAUUAAUGGAAAAGGACUCUUUG